CGGCCGCGGUAUUUUGACCGUGCAAAGGUAGCGUAAUCACUUGUCUUUUAAAUGAAGACCUGUAUGAAUGGCAUCACGAGGGCUUAGCUGUCUCCUUUUUCUAAGUCAGUGAAAUUGAUCUCCCCGUGCAGAAGCGGGGAUAAAAACAUAAGACGAGAAGACCCUAUGGAGCUUUAGACACCAGAAUAGCACAUGUUAAGACACCCUGAAUAAAGAACUGAACUUAAUGGCCCCCCUAUUCCAAUGUCUUCGGUUGGGGCGACCAUGAGGAACAAAAACCCCUCAUGUGGAAUGGGAGUACCACAACCCACACACUAUUUUUCCUAUACUCCUACAACCAAGAGCUACAACUCAAACUGACAGAAAUUCUGACCAACAAUGAUCCGGCAAUGCUGAUCAACGGACCAAGUUACCCUAGGGAUAACAGCGCAAUCCCCUUUUAGAGCCCAUAUCGACAAGGGGGUUUACGACCUCGAUGUUGGAUCAGGACAUCC
This 494-nucleotide ribosomal RNA is filed under the name Lates calcarifer (barramundi perch). Its description in RNAcentral is "partial 16S ribosomal RNA". It matches the Rfam family "Bacterial large subunit ribosomal RNA", at positions 1928 to 2547 of the family's 2925-position model. The record is from RNAcentral. Lineage: Eukaryota; Metazoa; Chordata; Actinopteri; Centropomidae.